Molecule: small RNA, 488 nt
Filed under: Pongo abelii (Sumatran orangutan)
Lineage: Eukaryota; Metazoa; Chordata; Mammalia; Primates; Hominidae
Description: processed transcript
Source: RNAcentral
GUGUACACAAGCCCUUUAUCACAGUAGCAUAGAUGCACUGGAGGUCAUGUCUGAUGAGGAGUUAAAAGAGUUGUUUAAAGAAGCUCCAUUUUCUGAAUUUUUUCUCGAUCCUGGAACAAAUGUCCUAGAUACCUGCCGCAAAGCAAAUGCCAUUCCAGAUGGCCCCCGAGGAUAUCGAAUGAUAACAGAAGGCGGAGUCAGCAUAAAUCACCAACAAGUAACAAAUCCUGAGAGUGUUUUAAUUGUUGGACAACAUAUUCUCAAGAAUGGACUUUCCUUACUUAAAAUAGGAAAAAGAAAUUUCUACAUUAUAAAAUGGCUUCAGUUAUGAUGAAAAGUCCUUCUGGUUGUCCAAAUAAACUUACCCAUCAUUCAUUCUCAAGACCUCUGAAGGUUGGCUCCAGAACUUAGACCUUUGCUUAUGCAAAUCAGAAAAACAGAAUGGACUAGGACUCAGUAGAUGGGGUCUCUUUUUUUAGUGCCAUCUG